RNAcentral lists this transfer RNA (89 nucleotides) under Nomascus leucogenys (northern white-cheeked gibbon). It matches the Rfam family "tRNA". Rfam says of the family: Transfer RNA (tRNA) molecules are approximately 80 nucleotides in length. Their secondary structure includes four short double-helical elements and three loops (D, anti-codon, and T loops). Further hydrogen bonds mediate the characteristic L-shaped molecular structure. tRNAs have two regions of fundamental functional importance: the anti-codon, which is responsible for specific mRNA codon recognition, and the 3' end, to which the tRNAs corresponding amino acid is attached (by aminoacyl-tRNA synthetases). tRNAs cope with the degeneracy of the genetic code in two manners: having more than one tRNA (with a specific anti-codon) for a particular amino acid; and 'wobble' base-pairing, i.e. permitting non-standard base-pairing at the 3rd anti-codon position. The record is from Rfam by way of RNAcentral. Lineage: Eukaryota; Metazoa; Chordata; Mammalia; Primates; Hylobatidae.
CCUUCGAUAGCUCAGUUGGUAGAGCGGAGGACUGUAGUAGAUGGAACGUGGCAAUCCUUAGGUCGCUGGUUCGAUUCCGGCUCGAAGGA